AUUGAACGCUGGCGGCAUGCCUUACACAUGCAAGUCGAACGGCAGCACGGGAGCAAUCCUGGUGGCGAGUGGCGAACGGGUGAGUAAAGUAUCGGAACGUGCCCAGUCGUGGGGGAUAACGUAGCGGAAGUUGCGCUAAUACCGCAUACGAUCUAUGGAUGAAAGCGGGGGAUCGCAAGACCUCGCGCGAUUGGAGCGGCCGAUAUCAGAUUAGGUAGUUGGUGGGGUAAAGGCUCACCAAGCCGACGAUCUGUAGCUGGUCUGAGAGGACGACCAGCCAAACUGGAACUGAGACACGGCCCAGACUCCUACGGGAGGCAGCAGUGGGGAAUUUUGGACAAUGGGCGAAAGCCUGAUCCAGCCAUGCCGCGUGCAGGAUGAAGGCCUUCGGGUUGUAAACUGCUUUUGUACGGAACGAAAAGGUUUGGCCUAAUAAGCUGAGCUCAUGACGGUACCGUAAGAAUAAGCACCGGCUAACUACGUGCCAGCCGCCGCCGUAA
RNAcentral lists this ribosomal RNA (500 nucleotides) under uncultured bacterium. RNAcentral describes it as "partial 16S ribosomal RNA". It matches the Rfam family "Bacterial small subunit ribosomal RNA", at positions 30 to 523 of the family's 1533-position model. The record is from RNAcentral.